Molecule: long non-coding RNA, 1212 nt
Organism: Rhincodon typus (whale shark)
Lineage: Eukaryota; Metazoa; Chordata; Chondrichthyes; Orectolobiformes; Rhincodontidae
Exons: 2
Source: RefSeq, a predicted model, not a curated record
CACAUCAUUUGCAAACCCAUACACAGUCUGCUGCACGUGGAUGUGUCUUAAAAUGACGCACAUUUUCUUAACAACACAGCCGUAUCGCCUGUUUAAUCCUAUGCACUGACUUAGAGUGUACAUCUUGCAAGUACAGCACAUUGCCGCAGAAAGGAUCGAUGACUUGAUUUAUACAAUGACAUCUCCUUAAUCCUCAGCAAGCCUUGCAUGGACUUGAUGAGUACUUAGAGUUUCAAUAAUUUGUACAGUACAUUCAGGACCUCGCACUCUUUCACAUAAAGAAUGGUACAACAGAUCACAAUCACUCCAAUUUGCUGCAAGAAACCUCAGGACAUUAGUUUUCUGACUGGAUUGCAUAUUCGCCUGUGUAUAUGUCUGGAGCGCACAGUGUGCGCACACAUGCAGUACAGCGAAUCUGCCUCUGUUCCUUCAUCAGCACAUUCUACUUCAACAAUCUCUGUAAACAAAUGGGAAGACUGCCAUCAAUGCAACUCAGAUGCCUAACCUGGACUGGAAUACACAAACAUUUUAACCUUGACUUUCACGUGCUGCUGAAACAUUUAAGGUUUUCACUGUAAAUUAUUAAGUAUAGAAGUAUUGAUUUUUAAAAGUUGCUAAUGUUUGGAAAAUACAUAAUAAUAUUUAACAUUUUUGCUUCCUUUAUAUUGAUACUUUUUUGAACUGAAAAUGUAAUUUUUUUUCUGAUGCACAUGCAUUAUUGAUGUGUCCGAGAUAAAUUUCCAGUUCUGUUAUAAACAGGGAUUUUUUUUUUUUUUGUUUAAGACUUGUGAAUAUAUGCAGUACAAAUGGAUUAUAUUUCUGUUCUUGGAUGAAAGCAGUUUAUACAUAGCAUAAUCCUGAAGUGCAGGCUUUGGUGAAUUGUCAUAUUCAUCAUUAUGGCUAUUGUACUAGUAAUGCAGCCCUCUUGUCUUGGGUUGAUUUAACAAUAAUUUUGUACUCUUCCACUCUGUGAGAUACAUUGCUGUCAGGAGAUGCUGACAUUACUGUACUGUACAUAGUACUCGAAUGUCAGUGGAAUUUGAAACCAUAGUCAAAAGCAAUCAAAUUGAGUCUUCCUUUUCUUUGUGUAUAUAUAAUGUACCUGGACAGCAUAUACAUACAUAACCUGCCCCAGAAUCGACAAUAUUGUGGUUGUAAUUUCUGGAUACUGACUCCUCAUCCCUGCAAGUAAUAAAUUAGAAAAUGAUUAUA